RNAcentral lists this ribosomal RNA (253 nucleotides) under uncultured bacterium. RNAcentral's name for it is "partial 16S ribosomal RNA". It matches the Rfam family "Bacterial small subunit ribosomal RNA", at positions 524 to 776 of the family's 1533-position model. The record is from RNAcentral.
UACGUAGGUGGCAAGCGUUGUCCGGAUUUACUGGGCGUAAAGAGCGCGCAGGCGGUCGUUCAAGUCGCGUGUGAAAGCCCCCGGCUCAACUGGGGAGGGUCACGCGAUACUGAUCGACUCGAAGGCAGGAGAGGGAAGUGGAAUUCCCGGUGUAGUGGUGAAAUGCGUAGAUAUCAGGAGGAACACCGAUGGCGAAGGCAGGUCUCUGGGCCGAUACUGACGCUGAGGAGCGAAAGCGUGGGGAGCGAACAGG